RNAcentral lists this ribosomal RNA (493 nucleotides) under uncultured bacterium. RNAcentral describes it as "partial 16S ribosomal RNA". It matches the Rfam family "Bacterial small subunit ribosomal RNA", at positions 29 to 504 of the family's 1533-position model. The record is from RNAcentral.
AUGCACGCUGGCGGCGUGCCUAAUACAUGCAAGUCGAGCGAACAGACGAGGAGCUUGCUCCUCUGACGUUAGCGGCGGACGGGUGAGUAACACGUGGAUAACCUACCUAUAAGACUGGGAUAACUUCGGGAAACCGGAGCUAAUACCGGAUAAUAUAUUGAACCGCAUGGUUCAAUAGUGAAAGACGGUUUUGCUGUCACUUAUAGAUGGAUCCGCGCCGCAUUAGCUAGUUGGUAAGGUAACGGCUUACCAAGGCAACGAUGCGUAGCCGACCUGAGAGGGUGAUCGGCCACACUGGAACUGAGACACGGUCCAGACUCCUACGGGAGGCAGCAGUAGGGAAUCUUCCGCAAUGGGCGAAAGCCUGACGGAGCAACGCCGCGUGAGUGAUGAAGGUCUUCGGAUCGUAAAACUCUGUUAUUAGGGAAGAACAAAUGUGUAAGUAACUAUGCACGUCUUGACGGUACCUAAUCAGAAAGCCACGGCUAACUAC